This 253-nucleotide ribosomal RNA is filed under the name uncultured bacterium. RNAcentral's name for it is "partial 16S ribosomal RNA". It matches the Rfam family "Bacterial small subunit ribosomal RNA", at positions 524 to 776 of the family's 1533-position model. The record is from RNAcentral.
UACGAACCGGACAAACGUUAUUCGGAAUCACUGGGCUUAAAGAGUGCGUAGGCGGCUUACCAAGUUGGGUGUGAAAUCCCUCGGCUCAACCGAGGAAUUGCGCUCAAAACUGGCAGGCUUGAGGAAGGCAGGGGUAAGCGGAACUGAUGGUGGAGCGGUGAAAUGCGUUGAUAUCAUCAGGAACACCAGUGGCGAAGGCGGCUUACUGGGCCUUUUCUGACGCUGAGGCACGAAAGCUAGGGUAGCGAACGGG